Molecule: ribosomal RNA, 496 nt
Filed under: uncultured bacterium
Lineage: Bacteria
Description: partial 16S ribosomal RNA
Rfam family: Bacterial small subunit ribosomal RNA
Source: RNAcentral
AUGAACGCUGGCGGCGUGCCUCAUACAUGCAAGUCGAGCGAACAGAUGAGGAGCUUGCUCCUCUGACGUUAGCGGCGGACGGGUGAGUAACACGUGGAUAACCUACCUAUAAGACUGGGAUAACUUCGGGAAACCGGAGCUAAUACCGGAUAAUAUAUUGAACCGCAUGGUUCAAUAGUGAAAGACGGUUUUGCUGUCACUUAUAGAUGGAUCCGCGCCGCAUUAGCUAGUUGGUAAGGUAACGGCUUACCAAGGCAACGAUGCGUAGCCGACCUGAGAGGGCGAUCGGCCACACUGGAACUGAGACACGGUCCAGACUCCUACGGGAGGCAGCAGUAGGGAAUCUUCCGCAAUGGGCGAAAGCCUGACGGAGCAACGCCGCGUGAGUGAUGAAGGUCUUCGGAUCGUAAAACUCUGUUAUUAGGGAAGAACAAAUGUGUAAGUAACUACGCACGUCUUGACGGUACCUAAUCAGAAAGCCACGGCUAACUACGUG